RNAcentral lists this long non-coding RNA (454 nucleotides) under Fukomys damarensis (Damara mole-rat). RNAcentral's name for it is "lncRNA (ENSFDAG00000030440.1)". The record is from RNAcentral. Lineage: Eukaryota; Metazoa; Chordata; Mammalia; Rodentia; Bathyergidae.
AUGUCUGAACUGUGUUCCGCACGGGCCACAAAGGGUCGUGUUACUCAAGACUGCAAGCGACGAAAACCGCUAGCUCUCUGCACAGGGGAGGAGGCAAGUGAGGCAGCUGCCACCAGGCUGGCUCCGCUGGCUUUGACAGCAGAGAUGACACUUUCUCUCCCUGGAGUCAAGCAGUGUGUCCUUUUCAUAUUGAACGAUAUUCGGAGAACAUGGCACCUUCAGUGUGGAAUCGCUAAACGCCCUCAGAAGCUGUCCUGGCCCAAAAGAUGGGGAGACAUCUGGAGACACCUGUGGCCUCACCGCCCCGCUCUCCACCUCCCGCUGCAGCCCCUCCUUCCUGGUUCCACCUGCUUCACUGCCCGCCUCUUCUAGGGUGGCCCCCAGAGUCCUUAUUAAAAUUGACUGCCUUUUAUUUCUUCCGCGGGGCACCUCUGAUCCACCUGCUAACGGCCAC